This 253-nucleotide ribosomal RNA is filed under the name uncultured bacterium. Its description in RNAcentral is "partial 16S ribosomal RNA". It matches the Rfam family "Bacterial small subunit ribosomal RNA", at positions 524 to 776 of the family's 1533-position model. The record is from RNAcentral.
UACGUAGGGUGCGAGCGUUAAUCGGAAUUACUGGGCGUAAAGCGUGCGCAGGCGGUUCGUUGUGUCGGUGGUGAAAGCCCCGGGCUUAACCUGGGAAUGGCCAUGGAAACUGGCGAACUGGAGUGUGGCAGAGGGGGGUGGAAUUCCACGUGUAGCAGUGAAAUGCGUAGAGAUGUGGAGGAACACCGAUGGCGAAGGCAGCCCCCUGGGCUGAGAUUGACGCUCAGGCACGAAAGCGUGGGGAGCAAACAGG